This 69-nucleotide transfer RNA is filed under the name Ictidomys tridecemlineatus (thirteen-lined ground squirrel). Its description in RNAcentral is "Spermophilus tridecemlineatus (thirteen-lined ground squirrel) tRNA". It matches the Rfam family "tRNA". From Rfam's summary of the family: Transfer RNA (tRNA) molecules are approximately 80 nucleotides in length. Lineage: Eukaryota; Metazoa; Chordata; Mammalia; Rodentia; Sciuridae. RNAcentral also lists the same sequence under 1 other name. The record is from Rfam by way of RNAcentral.
GGGCUUGUAGCUCAAUGGUAGAGCACUUGCCUAGCAUGUGUGAGGCACUGAGUUCAAUCCUCAGCACCA